Molecule: long non-coding RNA, 1014 nt
Organism: Aedes aegypti (yellow fever mosquito)
Lineage: Eukaryota; Metazoa; Arthropoda; Insecta; Diptera; Culicidae
Exons: 5
Source: RefSeq, a predicted model, not a curated record
AAUAAACCCAAUUGUCCCAGAGCAUCAACACGGUACUGCGCAGUUUGGAAGCAGAAAAACUGUUCGGAAAAUCCAACAAAAGGAAAACGAGGCGUGAUCCCCAAAAGUACCGUCGGGAUUCAUUAGGCGGCACCAACGAUACGCCCACGUGCAAAUCCAACACGGAGAGCAAGGGUAGAGGCACGUCCAAGCCGAUCAGCACAUCAAACGGACCACGGACGGAAUCAUUGACUCCGAGCACGCAGUUCGGUCCUCGAGCUGUUUGGACGGUCUGAGCCAGCUUAACUGCAACUAGCACUUACAGAGGAAUACCAGUACGGAAGGCUCGCCGACGACGGCACUAGACAGUAUCAUCUCCAAUUGCGCGGUGACUCACGACCACCGAAUAUUGCGGUAAUCAGCUUCAUCCAUCCUUCUCAUUAGAAGCUAGACCGACCAUCGGCCAUCUGCGAGAGUUGUGCAGGACAGAAAAGCCUUCCACUGGAAGGCUUUUCUUUUCAUUAUUACAGUUUCGAAGCUUUCGGAGUGCAGUCAGAUCGGACGUCUGUGUGCAGUCGGACGCAGGGAGCGGAUCACCCCGUCACGGUAGCGAACCGUUGAUGCGAAAGGGUAAGGGGCGCUCAGGAAUCUCCAGACCACUCACCAUCAGUAGGCGCCAAUCUCGCUUCUGUGGCCGAACACAGGGAGCGAAGCGUACAGUUGAAGCGAGGCGCAGACUUCAGUUCGCUGGUGACAGGCACUGCGGCAUACCCGGACAGUUGCGGUGACGAGUCGGUGUGAGGCAAGAGGUACAGGAUGCAGAGAUUCGGUAGGAAACAAGGGUGCACCCAAGAAGAGUUUCGUGAGUACCACUAGUAUAAGAAAAUGAAUGGAAUGAAGAAGAAAGCAAGUCAGAGUUAGGGAAUAGAAGGCAGAUAAGGGUGAUGAUGACCAGUAUGCUAAAUAAAAUAAUUGCAAAAUGAUUUAAGCUAUUUGUGGCGUUUUUAUGUUGCUAGCCGGUCCGACCGAUGCAUU